CAUGUCUAGAGUUUGAAAGAUGGUUCUGCUAUCACUCUUGGAUGGACCUGCGGUGCAUUAGCUAGUUGGUAAGGUAACGGCUUACCAAGGCAAUGAUGCAUAGCCGAGUUGAGAGACUGAUCGGCCACAUUGGGACUGAGACACGGCCCAAACUCCUACGGGAGGCAUCAGUAGGGAAUCUUCCACAAUGGACGAAAGUCUGAUGGAGCAACGCCGCGUGAGUGAAGAAGGGUUUCGGCUCGUAAAGCUCUGUUGGUAGUGAAGAAAGAUAGAGGUAGUAACUGGCCUUUAUUUGACGGUAAUUACU
This 307-nucleotide ribosomal RNA is filed under the name uncultured bacterium. Its description in RNAcentral is "bacterial SSU rRNA". It matches the Rfam family "Bacterial small subunit ribosomal RNA", at positions 188 to 483 of the family's 1533-position model. The record is from RNAcentral.